UAGCNGAGGAAAAGAAACCAACAGGGAUUGCCUCAGUAACGGCGAGUGAAGCGGCAAAAGCUCAAAUUUGAAAUCUAGCACCUUCGGUGUUCGAGUUGUAAUUUGAAGAUGGUAACCUUGGGUUUGGCUCUUGUCUAUGUUCCUUGGAACAGGACGUCAUAGAGGGUGAGAAUCCCGUCUGAUGAGAUGCCCAUUCCUAUGUAAGGUGCUAUCGAAGAGUCGAGUUGUUUGGGAAUGCAGCUCUAAGUGGGUGGUAAAUUCCAUCUAAAGCUAAAUAUUGGCGAGAGACCGAUAGCGAACAAGUACAGUGAUGGAAAGAUGAAAAGAACUUUGAAAAGAGAGUGAAAAAGUACGUGAAAUUGUUGAAAGGGAAGGGCAUUAGAUCAGACUUGGUGUUUUACGAUUAUCUUCUCUUCUUGAGUUGUGCACUCGUAUUUCACUGGGCCAGCAUCGAUUCGGAUGGCAAGAUAAUGGCAGUUGAAUGUGGCUUCACUUCGGUGGAGUGUUAUAGCUUCUGCUGAUAUUGCCUGUCUGGAUCGAGGGCUGCGUCUUUUGACUAGGAUGCUGGCGUAAUGAUCUAAUGCCGCCCGUCUU
This 594-nucleotide ribosomal RNA is filed under the name Hansenula anomala. RNAcentral describes it as "LSU rRNA". It matches the Rfam family "Eukaryotic large subunit ribosomal RNA", at positions 48 to 655 of the family's 3401-position model. Lineage: Eukaryota; Fungi; Ascomycota; Saccharomycetes; Phaffomycetales; Wickerhamomycetaceae. The record is from RNAcentral.